AUGAUGAGGUGUCAUUUUUACAUGAUGAGAGAAAUAGCCGUGUUUAAGCACUUUGAGACGAAGGAUGGCAAGUUCUUCUGCUUCCCCAUGGAGACCAACCAUGCAUCUGUCACCCCAAUGUACAACACUUACCGUGCUUCUCAGUUCAUCUUCCCUGGCGACGACGAAGUUCUGGCACGGGCCGGGCGCUAUUGCCGAUCAUUCCUCCUAGAGAGACAAGCCUCCAACAAACUGUACGACAAGUGGAUCAUCACCAAGGAUCUGCCGGGAGAGGUUGGCUACACACUGAACCUACCCUGGAAAGCAAGUUUAUCACGAAUUGAAACAAGGAUGUUUCUGGAUCAGUACGGAGGCAAUACAGAUGUUUGGAUUGCCAAGGUUCUCUACAGGUAA
This 393-nucleotide ribosomal RNA is filed under the name Triticum aestivum (bread wheat). RNAcentral describes it as "partial small subunit ribosomal RNA". Lineage: Eukaryota; Viridiplantae; Streptophyta; Magnoliopsida; Poales; Poaceae. The record is from RNAcentral.